ACCUAGGGUAGAGGUGCUUUAAAAUAAGAGUAUUUAUAAGGAGCUGGCAAGUUUAGAUUUAUAAAGAAAGGAUUUUAGAGCCGAAGUUUUAAACUUGGCGAAGUUUACUGCUGGACUUAUGCAUAAGAUGUAUAAGGCUGUCACUUUUGUGAUGAGCUACAAGGUUU
RNAcentral lists this non-coding RNA (167 nucleotides) under Intestinibacter bartlettii. RNAcentral describes it as "Clostridium bartlettii Lysine sequence". It matches the Rfam family "Lysine riboswitch aptamer". Rfam says of the family: Riboswitches are metabolite binding domains within certain messenger RNAs that serve as precision sensors for their corresponding targets. Allosteric rearrangement of mRNA structure is mediated by ligand binding, and this results in modulation of gene expression. Lineage: Bacteria; Bacillati; Bacillota; Clostridia; Peptostreptococcales; Peptostreptococcaceae. The record is from RNAcentral. RNAcentral also lists the same sequence under 1 other name.